GUGGGGAAUUUUGGACAAUGGGCGCAAGCCUGAUCCAGCAAUGCCGCGUGCAGGAAGAAGGCCUUCGGGUUGUAAACUGCUUUUGUACGGAACGAAACGGUCCUGGUUAAUACCUGGGGCUAAUGACGGUACCGUAAGAAUAAGCACCGGCUAACUACGUGCCAGCAGCCGCGGUAAUACGUAGGGUGCGAGCGUUAAUCGGAAUUACUGGGCGUAAAGCGUGCGCAGGCGGUGCUGUAAGACAGGCGUGAAAUCCCCGGGCUCAACCUGGGAAUUGCGCUUGUGACUGCAGUGCUGGAGUACGGCAGAGGGGGAUGGAAUUCCGCGUGUAGCAGUGAAAUGCGUAGAUAUGCGGAGGAACACCGAUGGCGAAGGCAGUCCCCUGGGCAUGUACUGACGCUCAUGCACGAAAGCGUGGGGAGCAAACAGGAUUAGAAACCCGAGUAGUCC
RNAcentral lists this ribosomal RNA (450 nucleotides) under uncultured bacterium. RNAcentral describes it as "partial 16S ribosomal RNA". It matches the Rfam family "Bacterial small subunit ribosomal RNA", at positions 354 to 796 of the family's 1533-position model. The record is from RNAcentral.